CCCAGGGAGCCCCGGACCGCAGCCAGGAGGGAGCGGCGAAGUGCGGCCGAGCCAGCUCGGACUGUUUUCCUUCCUCCACCGCUUGCUCCUUUUGCUGCGCGCGGACCGGACGGUAGGACUGCGGCGGUGAAAGGGACUGAAGUCCGAGCGCAGCCGCGAACUUCUGGACUGUUUUCCAAAGCAGCUGCACCGUUUUCUAUUUCCACUGGUAAAUCUUUAUUAGCAUGUGUCAGCAUUCCUGAUUUCAGAUGACUCUAGAUUGGAUUUCUUACCCUGCAAAGCUGAGGUGAAGGCCAAGCCAUGGAAAUUCAGUGAAAAUUUAUCAAGAUUUGCAUGGAGCCACGGGACUGGAGCUGAUCAAAGAGAGUGCCCGAAGAGACAGACACCUGUGGCUACAAGCAAUUAGCUCUCCUUUGUAUGGGCCACUGGAAAUGAAGAAAAACAACAAAAAAAAAGUAUAAAAGCAAUUAGCUCAAGGGACAGCUCUUGCUUGACUUCCGAUGACUACCUGUCUCAAUUCACAAUAACUAGAUAAACAAAUAUGAAGCCACUAUGUAUGUCUCUGUUUAACUUUUCUGCUAAAGUGAUAGUUUUAUCUUAGAAGUUUGUCCUAGAGAGGUUUUUGUAACCCUUUGUUCACAUAGAUAGAGUUAAUUACGGGACCUAUAGAAGCUUUUGGGGAGACUUUGAACCUAAAACGAACUACCAGUUAUUAUGUAAAUCUGUUACCGCUGGCAACCGAUCACUGUACCUAUAAAUACUGAUGUGAAAUUUCAGUCGUAGCCCUAAAAUUCUCAGGAAUAUUUUGGGGUCCCCCAACACCUCCACUUUUUUCUAGUUUCAUAAAUCUAUUCUUUGUAAAGUGUAAAAAAAAAAGGAUAAAUAGGCCAAAUUAGAGUAAUUGAGGAAGGCUGUUACAUAUCUGGUGACCAGGGAUAGCUUCUUUUAAGAAGUGACAUUUGAGAUGAGACUGUAAGAAUGAGCCAACCAUGAGAAGAACUGGAGAAA
Lemur catta (Ring-tailed lemur) is the source of this 1008-nucleotide long non-coding RNA. RefSeq lists it as uncharacterized. Lineage: Eukaryota; Metazoa; Chordata; Mammalia; Primates; Lemuridae. The record is from RefSeq and is a predicted model, not a curated record. The transcript has 4 exons.